This 106-nucleotide small nuclear RNA is filed under the name Moschus moschiferus (Siberian musk deer). Lineage: Eukaryota; Metazoa; Chordata; Mammalia; Artiodactyla; Moschidae. The record is from RNAcentral.
GUGCUUGCUUUGGCAGCACAUAUACUAAAAUUGGAAUGAUACAGAGACAAUUAGCAUGGUCCUGUACAAGGAUGACAUGCAAAUUCAUGAAGUGUUCCAUAUUUUU